This 829-nucleotide ribosomal RNA is filed under the name Klebsiella pneumoniae. RNAcentral describes it as "bacterial SSU rRNA". It matches the Rfam family "Bacterial small subunit ribosomal RNA", at positions 703 to 1532 of the family's 1533-position model. The record is from RNAcentral. Lineage: Bacteria; Pseudomonadati; Pseudomonadota; Gammaproteobacteria; Enterobacterales; Enterobacteriaceae.
GGAAUACCGGUGGCGAAGGCGGCCCCCUGGACAAAGACUGACGCUCAGGUGCGAAAGCGUGGGGAGCAAACAGGAUUAGAUACCCUGGUAGUCCACGCCGUAAACGAUGUCGAUUUGGAGGUUGUGCCCUUGAGGCGUGGCUUCCGGAGCUAACGCGUUAAAUCGACCGCCUGGGGAGUACGGCCGCAAGGUUAAAACUCAAAUGAAUUGACGGGGGCCCGCACAAGCGGUGGAGCAUGUGGUUUAAUUCGAUGCAACGCGAAGAACCUUACCUGGUCUUGACAUCCACAGAACUUUCCAGAGAUGGAUUGGUGCCUUCGGGAACUGUGAGACAGGUGCUGCAUGGCUGUCGUCAGCUCGUGUUGUGAAAUGUUGGGUUAAGUCCCGCAACGAGCGCAACCCUUAUCCUUUGUUGCCAGCGGUUAGGCCGGGAACUCAAAGGAGACUGCCAGUGAUAAACUGGAGGAAGGUGGGGAUGACGUCAAGUCAUCAUGGCCCUUACGACCAGGGCUACACACGUGCUACAAUGGCAUAUACAAAGAGAAGCGACCUCGCGAGAGCAAGCGGACCUCAUAAAGUAUGUCGUAGUCCGGAUUGGAGUCUGCAACUCGACUCCAUGAAGUCGGAAUCGCUAGUAAUCGUAGAUCAGAAUGCUACGGUGAAUACGUUCCCGGGCCUUGUACACACCGCCCGUCACACCAUGGGAGUGGGUUGCAAAAGAAGUAGGUAGCUUAACCUUCGGGAGGGCGCUUACCACUUUGUGAUUCAUGACUGGGGUGAAGUCGUAACAAGGUAACCGUAGGGGAACCUGCGGUUGGAUCACCUCCUU